This 402-nucleotide ribosomal RNA is filed under the name uncultured bacterium. RNAcentral describes it as "bacterial SSU rRNA". It matches the Rfam family "Bacterial small subunit ribosomal RNA", at positions 355 to 774 of the family's 1533-position model. The record is from RNAcentral.
UGGGGAAUAUUGGACAAUGGGCGAAAGCCUGAUCCAGCCAUGCCGCGUGAGUGAUGAAGGCCCUAGGGUUGUAAAGCUCUUUUGUGCGGGAAGAUAAUGACGGUACCGCAAGAAUAAGCCCCGGCUAACUUCGUGCCAGCAGCCGCGGUAAUACGAAGGGGGCUAGCGUUGCUCGGAAUCACUGGGCGUAAAGGGUGCGUAGGCGGGUUUCUAAGUCAGAGGUGAAAGCCUGGAGCUCAACUCCAGAACUGCCUUUGAUACUGGAAGUCUUGAGUUCGGGAGAGGUCAGUGAAACUGCGAGUGUAGAGGUGAAAUUCGUAGAUAUUCGCAAGAACACCAGUGGCGAAGGCGGCUCACUGGCCCGAUACUGACGCUGAGGCACGAAAGCGUGGGGAGCAAACA